This 397-nucleotide ribosomal RNA is filed under the name Dujonia zeylanoides. Its description in RNAcentral is "[Candida] zeylanoides partial large subunit ribosomal RNA". It matches the Rfam family "Eukaryotic large subunit ribosomal RNA", at positions 69 to 462 of the family's 3401-position model. The record is from RNAcentral. Lineage: Eukaryota; Fungi; Ascomycota; Pichiomycetes; Serinales; Debaryomycetaceae.
AAGGCAUUGCCUCAGUAACGGCGAGUGAAGCGGCAAAAGCUCAAAUUUGAAAUCUAGCACUUUCACGUGUUCGAGUUGUAAUUUGAAGAAGGUAACUUUGGUUUUGGCUCUUGUCUAUGUUCCUUGGAACAGGACGUCACAGAGGGUGAGAAUCCCGUGCGAUGAGAUGCCCAAUUCCAUGUAAAGUGCUUUCGAAGAGUCGAGUUGUUUGGGAAUGCAGCUCUAAGUGGGUGGUAAAUUCCAUCUAAAGCUAAAUAUUGGCGAGAGACCGAUAGCGAACAAGUACAGUGAUGGAAAGAUGAAAAGAACUUUGAAAAGAGAGUGAAAAAGUACGUGAAAUUGUUGAAAGGGAAGGGCUUGCGAUCACACUUGGCAUCCCCCCCCCCCCCCCCUCUGG